RNAcentral lists this small nuclear RNA (142 nucleotides) under Myotis brandtii (Brandt's bat). RNAcentral's name for it is "U12 minor spliceosomal RNA". It matches the Rfam family "U12 minor spliceosomal RNA". From Rfam's summary of the family: Although the U12 sequence is very divergent from that of U2, the two are functionally analogous. The record is from Rfam by way of RNAcentral. Lineage: Eukaryota; Metazoa; Chordata; Mammalia; Chiroptera; Vespertilionidae.
CUGCCCCCUCCCAAAAAUUAAUCAUUUGGGGGUGAUGCCUGAAUCCUUACUGCUAAUGUGAGAUGAAUUUUUGAGCGGGUAAAGGUUACCCCUAAGGUGACAAGCCUACUUUGUGGGAUGCCUGGGUGUUGUGAUCUGCCCG